CAGCCGCCGCGGGAAUACGAAGGGGGCUAGCGUUGCUCGGAAUGACUGGGCGUAAAGGGCGCGUAGGCGGUUUGCACAGUCAGAUGUGAAAUUCCUGGGCUUAACCUGGGGGCUGCAUUUGAUACGUGCGGACUUGAGUGUGAAAGAGGGUCGUGGAAUUCCCAGUGUAGAGGUGAAAUUCGUAGAUAUUGGGAAGAACACCGGUGGCGAAGGCGGCGACCUGGUUCAUGACUGACGCUGAGGCGCGAAAGCGUGGGGAGCAAACAGGAUUAGAUACCCGGGUAGUCCCUGUCUCUUAUAC
This 301-nucleotide ribosomal RNA is filed under the name uncultured bacterium. Its description in RNAcentral is "partial 16S ribosomal RNA". It matches the Rfam family "Bacterial small subunit ribosomal RNA", at positions 509 to 807 of the family's 1533-position model. The record is from RNAcentral.